This 736-nucleotide ribosomal RNA is filed under the name uncultured fungus. Its description in RNAcentral is "LSU rRNA". It matches the Rfam family "Eukaryotic large subunit ribosomal RNA", at positions 23 to 664 of the family's 3401-position model. Lineage: Eukaryota; Fungi. The record is from RNAcentral.
ACCCGCUGAACUUAAGCAUAUUAAUAAGCGGAGGAAAAGAAACUAACAAGGAUUCCCUUAGUAACGGCGAGUGAAGUGGGAAUAGCUCAAAUUUGAAAUCUCACAGAGUUUUUCUGUGCGAAUUGUAGUUUAGAGAAGCGUUUUCCAAGGGUUGCUUGGGUAUAAGUCCUCUGGAAUGGGGUAUCAUAGAGGGUGAGAAUCCCGUUUAUGAUCCAAGUGGACCUUUUUUGUGAUACGCUUUCCAAGAGUCAGGUAGUUUGGGAUUGCUGCCUAAAAUGGGUGGUAAAUACCAUCUAAAGCUAAAUAUUGGUGAGAGACCGAUAGUGAACAAGUACCGUGAGGGAAAGAUGAAAAGAACUUUGAAAAGAGAGUUAAACAGUACGUGAAAUUGCCAAAAGGGAAACGCUUGGAACCAGUAUUAUCUGCUGGUAAUCAGCUAGAUGGUUUGCAAAAGCCUAUCUUAGUGCACUUACUAGUGGAUGGGUCAACAUCAGUUUGGUUUGAAGUAAAAGAUCAAAGAAAGGUAGCUUGAACUUUAGUUUGAGUGUUAUAGUCUUUGGUUAUGCUUUGGACUAGACUGAGGUCUGCAGCGUUACUUGGGUAGCCAGUUACCUUUUGAUCUUCAUUUUCUGACAGCUUGCUGGCUGAAAAUGAUGCUAGAAAGCUUAGCUGGUAGUCCACACCAACGCUUAGGAUGUUGAUGAAAUGGUUUCAAACGACCCGUCUUGAAACACGG